This is a small nucleolar RNA of Rhineura floridana, 223 nucleotides long. RefSeq annotates it as small nucleolar RNA SNORA73 family. The transcript has a single exon. The record is from RefSeq and is a predicted model, not a curated record. Lineage: Eukaryota; Metazoa; Chordata; Lepidosauria; Squamata; Rhineuridae.
CCAACAUGGGCAUUCAUUGUGGUGGUUCUUGCAUGGCUCUGUCCAAGUGGUGUAUGGGAGCCUAGCUCCAUAAGGGGCAAUGACGUAUAGUCCCAUUCUAUAAUGUUGGACAGAAAGUCCCCCCUCCCCGACUGAAAAACCUGGUAGGGGAAGAGUCCUGUAUAUUCCUACAACUUCUCAGUAUUUAUAGUUGCUGAGAAGAGAAACCAUGCAGGAUACGUGA